UGUCGGGUCUUGUUUUUGCUCAUCAGAUAGAAGGAUGGAGGAUAGAGUCCAGAACCUGAGUUUCUCAGCCGUCAAAGUGUCAGAGCAGUCAGGAUUUCUGUGUCAUGUCAGGAACUGUUCGUGGCAAGCCUGGUCUUGGUGCUCCCUCACUGAUACCUUGCGACGUGGAAGCUAUGCAGUUCAAUUGUCCCUAAAGGCUGUCUUUUAGUGGCGUGAAGGACAAAUGGUUCACCCUAAGGCAAGACACACUCUCACACAUACCCACUGUCAGUCACCCACCCACACACUCAAUUAAGUUUUUUACUUCAGUAUGCUGAUAAGUUUGUCCCACACUCUCUCUCUCUUUCUGAUAUAUGCAGUCUCCCAGUACCCAAAAGGUUUUACGGUUUGUCUUUCCCAGAGGUUCUGUUCCUCUUAGCAAGGCGCAAACUAGCUAAUUAAAAUGUUCUGGAAUAGGCCAAAAGCAGAGGCUCAACAAGAUGUUAUGGCAGGAUAAUGCUGUUUAAAGGGCAUGUGGAAUUUAAAGAUCCCAGCGUGAAGCUCACAUCACAUCUAGCAAGAUGCUGGCAGGGGAAAAGCCACAGGCACCAGCAAGGAGGUGUGGAUCUACUUUGAGCUGGAUAGCAGUGGAAAAAACAAUUUUUUUUCACCCAGUCGGAAGGGUGUUUCGACAAAAUGUCUGGAGCUUUGAACGCUGUGGGAGAACGGAGGUGUGCUAUUCAUCAAAGGUUUUAUCAAGCACGAAGACUCAGACUUCAUUCCCCUAA
RNAcentral lists this long non-coding RNA (767 nucleotides) under Astyanax mexicanus (Mexican tetra). RNAcentral's name for it is "lncRNA (ENSAMXG00005022190.1)". Lineage: Eukaryota; Metazoa; Chordata; Actinopteri; Characiformes; Acestrorhamphidae. The record is from RNAcentral.